Molecule: ribosomal RNA, 443 nt
Filed under: uncultured bacterium
Lineage: Bacteria
Description: partial 16S ribosomal RNA
Rfam family: Bacterial small subunit ribosomal RNA
Source: RNAcentral
CCUACGGGAGGCAGCAGUGGGGAAUAUUGGGCAAUGGGCGCAAGCCUGAACCAGCAAAGCCGCGUGAAGGAAGAAGGCCCACAGGUUGGAAACUUCUUUUAUUCGGGGCGCAACAAAUGACGGUACCGAAUGAAUAAGCCACGCCUAACUACGUGCCAGCAGCCACGGUAAGCCGGAGGUUGCAAGCGUUAUCCGGAUUUAAUGGGUGUAAGGGGCGUGUAGGCGGGAGAGCAAGGCAGACGUGAAAUUCCAGGGCUCAACCCUGGAACUGCGUUUGAAACUGUUCUUCUUGAGUGCUGGAGAGGCAGGCGGAAUGCGGGGUGUAGCGGUGAAAUGCGUAGAUAUACGGAGGAACACCAGUGGCGAAGGCGGCCUGCUGGACAUUCACUGACGCUGAGGCGCGAAAGCGUGGGUAGCAAACAGGAUUAGAUACCCGGGUAGUC